RNAcentral lists this transfer RNA (72 nucleotides) under Phycisphaerales bacterium. Its description in RNAcentral is "tRNA-Asn". It matches the Rfam family "tRNA". From Rfam's summary of the family: Transfer RNA (tRNA) molecules are approximately 80 nucleotides in length. Their secondary structure includes four short double-helical elements and three loops (D, anti-codon, and T loops). Lineage: Bacteria; Pseudomonadati; Planctomycetota; Phycisphaerae; Phycisphaerales. The record is from RNAcentral.
UCCCUCGUAGCUCAAUGGUAGAGCGGGCGGCUGUUAACCGCCAGGUUACUGGUUCGAGUCCAGUCGGGGGAG